Molecule: RNase P RNA, 299 nt
Filed under: Oncorhynchus tshawytscha (Chinook salmon)
Lineage: Eukaryota; Metazoa; Chordata; Actinopteri; Salmoniformes; Salmonidae
Description: Nuclear RNase P
Rfam family: Nuclear RNase P
About the family: Ribonuclease P (RNase P) is a ubiquitous endoribonuclease, found in archaea, bacteria and eukarya as well as chloroplasts and mitochondria. Its best characterised activity is the generation of mature 5'-ends of tRNAs by cleaving the 5'-leader elements of precursor-tRNAs.
Source: Rfam by way of RNAcentral
GUGGGUGGAAGCUCAUCAUAGAGGUCACAUGCAGGGUGCUGUCACUCAACCAAUCACCUUGGGGAAGGUCUGAGACAAGAGCCAAUCAUGCCCUGCAGGGUAUCACUGAUCUGGGUGAGUGAGUGCACAGAGAAUAUGAGCCAUUGGGGUUGUCUUUACAGGGAAAACACAGUGCAGCUCUCCAGCACUACUGGUGGAUGUGACCUCACUGGUUUGGAAACCUCAUGGCUGGCAUAUGAGUGCAAUGUGUGAGUUGGAGUAACACCUCCAGAACCCAAUUCAGACUACUCUCUGCCCAC